GUGUCAGCAGCCGCGGUAAUACGUAGGGGGCAAGCGUUGUCCGGAUUUAUUGGGCGUAAAGAGCUCGUAGGCGGCUAUUCGCGUCGGAUGUGAAAGCUCAAGGCUCAACCUUGAGAGGCCAUUCGAUACGGGAUAGCUAGAGGUAGGUAGGGGAGAUCGGAAUUCCUGGUGUAGCGGUGAAAUGCGCAGAUAUCAGGAGGAACACCGAUGGCGAAGGCAGAUCUCUGGGCCUUACCUGACGCUGAGGAGCGAAAGCUGGGGGAGCGAACAGGAUUAGAUACCCUCGUAGUCC
Molecule: ribosomal RNA, 292 nt
Filed under: uncultured bacterium
Lineage: Bacteria
Description: partial 16S ribosomal RNA
Rfam family: Bacterial small subunit ribosomal RNA
Source: RNAcentral